This 1038-nucleotide ribosomal RNA is filed under the name Riukiaria semicircularis. RNAcentral describes it as "partial large subunit ribosomal RNA". Lineage: Eukaryota; Metazoa; Arthropoda; Diplopoda; Polydesmida; Xystodesmidae. The record is from RNAcentral.
GUUUUUGUUAAGGUAAAUUUAGGUAAUUAUAAUAUAUUGGAUUAAUAUUAUGAGUGAGGAUUGAAGAAUUUUUAAAGAUUAAUAGUACUGUUGAGGAAUUAAUUGUAUUUGAUUAUAAAAUUAGGUUUUUUAGUACCUUUUGUAUUAGGGUUUAUUAAUGUAUGAAAAUGUAGAUUUUGUCUCGACGAAUAUCGGGCUAUUUUGUUAGGCGUUAUUUUUGUUGAAUAAAAUUAGUUAUGGCUUAAUAGUUAUGAAAUAUUAUUCAAGUUAUUUUUUAUCUAGUUUUCUUAGAAUUAUAAUUAAAGAUAUUUUUAUUAUAAAAAUAUGCUGGGAUUAGCUAGCUUAUUGUUUAUAUAUUAAGUAUGUUUUGGUUUAUUGGUGGAGUUAAAAGUUCUUAUUUAUAAGAUGUUAUUAUAUAAUAGGUUGUUUUGUAUUAUUUUUUAAUUUUAUGUUGAGAUUAGGAAUUUUAAUUUAAUUUGUAUUUGAUGAUAUAAUGAUAAAAUUAGUAAUAUAUGAAUUUAUAGAUUUGGUUUGUGGAGUUUUUUGGUAAUAAAAGGGCUGGGUAUUAAUGUUGAAGAAUUAGGCAAAAUUGGCUUUUGACUGUUUAGCAAAAACAUUGUUUUUUGUUAAGAUAAAAAAUAAGGUCUGUCCACUGCUUAGUAGUGAAGGGCUGCAGUAUAUUGACUGUAUGAAGGUAGCAUAAUCAUUAGUUUUUUAAUUGAAAGCUGGUAUGAAGGUGAAACAGGGGCUUUCUAUUUUGAUAUUAAUUAAUGAAUUUUAUUUUUGUGUGAAAAAUCAUAAUUGAGUUUAAGGGACAAGAAGACCCUAGUGAGUUUUAUUUUUAGUUGUGAGGGGUAUAUAGUUUAUAAAAUUAAUGUUAUUUGUAAUUUUGAAGUUUGACUGGGGCGGUAUGUAAUUGAACAUUAUUUAAUUUUUAAUUUUUGAUAGCGUUUGUAGGACCUGAAUUGGUCAGUUGAAGGUUAAACUACUGUAGGGAUAACAGCGUAAUUUUUUUUAAGAGUUCUUAUUGACAGGAAA